GAACGCUAUCGGUAUGCUUAACACAUGCAAGUCGGACGAAUUAAUUAGGGCUUGCCCUAAUUAAUUAGUGGCAGACGGGUGAGUAACACGUGGGAAUCUACCCAUCAGUACGGAAUAACUUUUAGAAAUAAAAACUAAUACCGUAUAUUCUCUAAGGAGGAAAGAUUUAUCGCUGAUGGAUGAGCCCGCGCCAGAUUAGGUAGUUGAAGUAAUGGCUCACCAAGCCAACGAUCUGUAGCUGGUCUGAGAGGAUGAUCAGCCACACUGGGACUGAGACACGGCC
This 283-nucleotide ribosomal RNA is filed under the name uncultured Rickettsia sp. RNAcentral's name for it is "partial 16S ribosomal RNA". It matches the Rfam family "Bacterial small subunit ribosomal RNA", at positions 31 to 331 of the family's 1533-position model. Lineage: Bacteria; Pseudomonadati; Pseudomonadota; Alphaproteobacteria; Rickettsiales; Rickettsiaceae. The record is from RNAcentral.